Panonychus citri (citrus red mite) is the source of this 3226-nucleotide RNA transcript. It is a transcript of the gene named eIF-2-alpha kinase GCN2-like, with no coding region annotated. The record is from RefSeq and is a predicted model, not a curated record. Lineage: Eukaryota; Metazoa; Arthropoda; Arachnida; Trombidiformes; Tetranychidae. The transcript is spliced from 5 exons.
AGCGUCUCUAUUGUAACCAAGGCAGUCGAGCUGUACUUUUAACUGUUUACUUUUGUUAAUAGAUCAUUUUUUGAAAAUUUUUGAAAAUAAUUAAAUUUAGUAUUGGCCAUUCACAAGGAUAAAUUGGUGAGAAAAGCCCAUCAAGUGUCUCGAUAAUUAAUAAAUAGAAGUUGGAUUUGCUAAUGAAUUUGUUAAUUUUGAGCUAUUUCUAGAGAGAGUAUCAUCAUCUGGCAGUUGACUGUAAUCAGAUUGUAUUGCUUUAAAUUUAAUCUAAUCAAUAUUUACCUUUUCAUGAAUUAUACCAAUAAUAAAGGGUUGUUUUCCUUAGUAAUUAUUAGCUGAAAAGUGUUUAAUUGAAUCUUUUUAACUAUGGAUAAUGUCAAAACCUCGUCGAUUGUUGAAAAUUUAACUAAAGAUUUGGAUGAACUGAAGAAGAAGCUUAAAAACGCUGAAACUAAAAUCGCCAAACUAAAAACAAUUAAUAGAAUUGUAGUUCAGAUCGAAAAGCUUGAGAAGCUAUCGACUAUCACUCAUUUCGUUGAAGGUUCUGGUUUAACUGACUUAGAAGAUUUAUCGUUUAUAACGGAUAAUGUUUUCAAAGCCUUUUCUAAGCAUAAUCAUAACCGUUAUGUUAUUAAGAAAAUCCAAAUAACAUCAGAUAAAAGUUUCAAAGAGGCCAGUCGACUUGUCGAACUUGACAAUUUGUAUGUGGUUAGUUAUUACGGUGUAUGGAUUGAAAAAGAGCAGAGUGAAAAUUCAAUUGAAUCAAAUGAAGGUCUGGAUACAUCAUCUGAUACGAACUUCGGAACUCAGACUCUUUACAUUCAAAUGGAAUGUUACAAAGAUGAAAAUCUUCAGGAUUUAAUCGUAAAUGGUGAACUAGAUGAUUAUCCUCGUCGUCGACACUUGUUUAUCCAAAUAGUUUUGGGUUUGAUUUACAUCCAUGAGCAAAAGAUCGUUCAUAUGAAUCUCAAUUUUGAUAAUAUUUUCUUGGAUGGAGAGGAUCGUAUAAAGAUUGGUGGACUUUGUCUUGGAAAGUCGAUACUUAUUCCCGAUAAAUCGGCCCCAAUAAAAGCUAGGUUCGGCCUUCUUCAGAAGAACGAUAUUUAUCAACUUGGACUGAUUUACUUUGUCAUGUGCUACAAGCCCGUUCAAACUCAUAAGAAGUUAUCAAAGUUUUAUAAAAAAUACACUAAAUUUUUUUUUGAAUUACCCGAUGAUGCUAAGAACCAUUUGAAACGAAAUGAGAUAACUUUUGUCGAGCAAUUGAUAAAUCAAAAUGUAAAAAAGCGUCCGUAUGUCAAAAAAGUUGUUGAUCUCGCUCUAACUUAUCUUACCAUUUAAUUAUCAGAUUGGAAAUUCAAAUGAUCAGAGACAUUGUAUCUAUUUUCAGUAUUGAUUAUAAACAUUUCCAUGACAAUUAUCGUUGUAAUUGUUUUUCUUUACUAAUUAAUCACCUUCCAUCAUCAGAUAAUCUCAGGUUAUUGUAAAUCUAAGUUACAUGAGUAGUGACCAUUGAUGCAUUUACAAUCAAAUACAAUUUGAGAAUAGCAAUUAAACCAGGAACCAAGUGAUUAGAUAUUAGCUAAUCUUAAUUAUUACUUUUUGGGUGUGUAUCUGUUUCUGAUUGGAUUUACAUUGCUAAUUAUUGGAUAAUACCUUGAUUCAGUUGAUUGUUAACUAUCAUCACAUACUUGAUAAUAGCAAUCUAUUGUGUUAAAUGAUUUGAUUAUCAAUACAAACCCAAAGAAGAUACUAAUUCAAUUGUUAAAAUUUUUAUCUAAUCAAUAAAAUUUACCAUUUAUUGUAAAGGUGAAAAGUUAGUUAUUGAUAAUUUACUUUAGUUAUUUUUACAAUCUAUUUUGUCUUUUGAUUGCUAAUUGUUGGUAUCACCAAAUUAAAGUGAUAAUAAUUGGGUUAAUUUUCUGGUCUCUGGUUACUUUUAAGUUGCAGGGUAAAGAGUCAAUUGAUUAACCUUGAGGUGUGUUAUGAUUGUAACUAAUAAGAUUGUAUUGUUUUGAAUUGAAUCUAAUCAAUAUUUACCUUUCCAUGAAUUAUACCAAUACUAAAGGGUUAUUUUCCUUAGUUAUUAUUAGCUGAAAAGUGUUUUAAUUGAAUGUGUUUUAACUAUGGAUAAUAAUGUCAACUACUCGUCAAUUAUUGAUAAUUUAACCAAAGAUUUGGAUGAACUGAAGAAGAAGCAAAAAAUUACUGAAACCCAAAUCUCCAGUCUCAAAAUAACCAAUAGGAAACUGGAAAAGCAAAUCGAGAGUCUCGAGAAGAUAUUGGCUAUCACUCAUUUCAUUGAGGGUUCUCGUUUAAGUGACUUUGAAGUUUUAUCGUUUAUAACAGAUAAUAUUUUCAAAGGUCUUUCUAAACGUAAUCAUAACCGUUAUGUUAUCAAGAAAGUCCGAAUAACAUCAGAUAAAAGUUUCAAAGAGGCCAGUCGACUUGUCGAACUUGACAAUUUGUAUGUGGUUAGUUAUUACGGUGUAUGGAUUGAAAAAGAGCAGAGUGAAAAUUCAAUUGAAUCAAAUGAAGGUCUGGAUACAUCAUCUGAUACGAACUUCGGAACUCAGACUCUUUGCAUUCAAAUGGAAUGUUACAAAGAUGAAAAUCUUCAGGAUUUGAUCGUAAACGGGGAACUAUUUGAAUAUCAUCGUCGUCGACAAUUGUUUAUCCAAAUAGUUUUGGGUUUGAUUUACAUACAUGAGCAACAGAUCGUUCAUAUGAACCUCAAUUUUGAUAACAUCUUCUUAUAUGGAAAAGAUCGUAUAAAGAUUGGUGGACUUUCUCUUAGAAAAUCGAUACUUAUCCCUCCUAGAUCGACCUCAAGAAAAACUAAGUUCAGUGAUCUUCAGAAGAACGAUAUUUAUCAACUUGGACUGAUUUACUUUGUCAUGUGCUACAAGCCCGUUCAGACUCAUAAAAAGUUAUCAAAGUUUUAUAAAAAAUACAAUACUAAAAUCUUUUUUGAACUACCCGAUGAUGCUAAGAACUAUUUGAAACGAAAUGAGAUCAUUUUUGUCCAGCGAUUAAUAGAUCAAAAUGUGAUAAAGCGUCCGAAUGCCAAAAAAGUUGUUGAUCUCACUCGUAAUUAUCUUCCCGUUUAUUAGUAAAACACCAGUUCGAGGGCACUGGACAUCAGAUUGGAAAUUCAAACAACAAUCAGAGACAUUGUAUCUAAUUUCAAUAUUGAUUAUAAACAUUGUCAUGACAAUUAUCA